GAUGGAGUUUUAAGAGGUUAUCCGCCAACAAAAUUUAAAGUAUCUCCUAAAGACAUGUUUGGGAGGACUGCCAUUAUUGCAGAAGUGAAUGAGAAUUUGUUAAAGAAGGUUCAGAAAACUACGGGAGUAAGUUUGGCUUCUGACUAUUGGGAUUUCAUCCCAUAUGAUGCACAACAAGAAGCAAGUGUAAAUUCGUCAAAUUACAAAAGAGUUUUAUCACAUGCUCAG
Molecule: unclassified non-coding RNA, 228 nt
Filed under: Hevea brasiliensis (rubber tree)
Lineage: Eukaryota; Viridiplantae; Streptophyta; Magnoliopsida; Malpighiales; Euphorbiaceae
Source: RNAcentral